This 108-nucleotide unclassified non-coding RNA is filed under the name uncultured Rhizophagus. RNAcentral describes it as "sequence contains ITS1". The record is from RNAcentral. Lineage: Eukaryota; Fungi; Glomeromycota; Glomeromycetes; Glomerales; Glomeraceae.
CCAAUUUUUAGCGAACCUGAUCUUUUUUUGAUCAUGGUCUCGCGAAAAUCGUAUUUAAAACCCCACUCUUAUAAGAAUCACUUUUUGUGUAAUAAAAAAAAUAAAAGA